Zingiber officinale is the source of this 393-nucleotide long non-coding RNA. RefSeq lists it as uncharacterized. NCBI's taxonomy places the organism in Eukaryota, Viridiplantae, Streptophyta, Magnoliopsida, Zingiberales, Zingiberaceae. The transcript has 3 exons. The record is from RefSeq and is a predicted model, not a curated record.
UUUCAUAAUUGGAUUUUUGAAAGUCAUGUAUCAACACAUGCAUGGAUGGAAGGUGUUAUCAUGUUCUUUAAUCCAUCUAGUACCUUGCUAUCAUGGUUAUGUAUAAUUUCCUUUUAUAGAUUCGUUAUGCAUUUGAACUUUUGACAAAUGCUUUAUGGAAGAGUGAUUAUGACCUUUUUGGCAUUGAUGAACACUCUGAAUCCUUUCUUGUUGGAGAAUUUCAAGUUUUAGUUACUAGUAUGAUCGAACUCCCAAUUAUUAAUUCAUCUUCACUUGGUAUGUUCAUUGUUCUACUGAUGCAAAAAUGUCAGCAUGUGCAUAUGAGGUAUGCUGAGUGAUAUGACCAAAGUUCAUUUCUAUUGUCGGGAAAUCAAAGCCUUCGCUCAUACAAGU